RNAcentral lists this microRNA (22 nucleotides) under Homo sapiens (human). RNAcentral's name for it is "hsa-miR-4723-3p". The record is from miRBase by way of RNAcentral. Lineage: Eukaryota; Metazoa; Chordata; Mammalia; Primates; Hominidae.
CCCUCUCUGGCUCCUCCCCAAA